This 418-nucleotide ribosomal RNA is filed under the name uncultured Sarcocystis sp. RNAcentral describes it as "bacterial SSU rRNA". It matches the Rfam family "Eukaryotic small subunit ribosomal RNA", at positions 512 to 924 of the family's 1831-position model. Lineage: Eukaryota; Apicomplexa; Conoidasida; Eucoccidiorida; Sarcocystidae. The record is from RNAcentral.
UGAUGGGAAUCCAAACCCCUUUCAGAGUAACAAUUGGAGGGCAAGUCUGGUGCCAGCAGCCGCGGUAAUUCCAGCUCCAAUAGCGUAUAUUAAAGUUGUUGCAGUUAAAAAGCUCGUAGUUGGAUUUCUGCUGGAAGCAGCCAGUCCGCCCUUUAUUGGGUGUGCACAUGGUGAAUUCUGGCAUCCUCCUGAUUUUGUAGUGUCAUCAUUAUCAUUCAUGAUGAUGAGAUUAUUUUUUCAGGACUGUUACUUUGAGAAAAUUAGAGUGUUUCAAGCAGGCUUAUUGCCUUGAAUACUGCAGCAUGGAAUAACAAGAUAGGAUUUCGGUUCUAUUUUGUUGGUUUCUAGGACUGAAGUAAUGAUUAAUAGGGACAGUUGGGGGCAUUCGUAUUUAACUGUCAGAGGUGAAAUUCUUAGA